AUGUCACCAUUCUCAAAUCCUUUCUUAUGUUCCUUUGAACUCACCUAUGACGCUUUAGAUUCUCCAAACUGUCAUCAAUGGCAAAACAAUGUAAUACUGCAUGACACUCUAUUUUUGACAGCCUGUUGUUUUGCUUCAAUGACCCCACCAUUAAUUAUGCCUUCAAAUCAAGUCAACAAUUUAUCUAAUGCGUCAUGUUGGUUUGUUUUAUUUCUCCAAGACAUUGAAGAUUUUGAGUCACACAGUGUUUCAGUCACAGAGACCCUGAACCAAUUGGCACCACGUGUGGCGGAUGAAAGAUUUCAGUCACAGAUUUUUUCACUGGCUCCUCAGUCUAACCUUGACAUACAGGAAGACGUACAGGUAGCCCCUACACAGGUGGGUGAGACGCAAGAGAAUGAGAAAGAGGACCUCUCCUCUGUCAUAUCACUCAUCAGCAGCCUGGCAGCACCUACAAAUACCCCAGUGUUACCUGUGGUUGAAAAGAAGCUUCACCGGCCUUCAAGGCCCACAAUGCUCUCCUCCUCAUUAUCCACUGGUACCAGUGCGCCACACCCCUUCUCCACACUCAUCCCUGGGGCUCUCUCAGCUAUCCUGCGUGCUACCCUGCCCCCUCACCUUACCUCUGACCCCAAGCCCAGGAGAGAGCCAGGUGCCCAGUGCCAACUGACCCUCGAGCAGCUGCGGACAGAGCUCCGGGACCUAAGGGAUGAGGUCGAACUGAUGAAGAGCCAGCACAACAAAGAGAUUCAACUGCUGAUGAAUGAGCUGGAUGAGGAGAAAAGGAUUCGCUUGUCAUUUACAGAUGGACGUGGCACAGAUGAAGAAGCACAAGUCUAA
Molecule: long non-coding RNA, 840 nt
Filed under: Oncorhynchus mykiss (rainbow trout)
Lineage: Eukaryota; Metazoa; Chordata; Actinopteri; Salmoniformes; Salmonidae
Description: lncRNA (ENSOMYG00000057307.1)
Source: RNAcentral